RNAcentral lists this ribosomal RNA (475 nucleotides) under uncultured bacterium. RNAcentral's name for it is "partial 16S ribosomal RNA". It matches the Rfam family "Bacterial small subunit ribosomal RNA", at positions 28 to 523 of the family's 1533-position model. The record is from RNAcentral.
GGUGGACGCUGGCGGCGUGCUUAAGACAUGCAAGUCGAACGCAGUCUUCGGACUGAGUGGCGCACGGGUGAGUAACACGUAACUGACCUACCCCCAAGUCGCGGAUAACUGGCCGAAAGGUCAGCUAAUACGUGAUGUGAUGUCCCCUUUCUGGGGGGCCAUUAAAGGUUUACUGCUUGGGGAUGGGGUUGCGUUCCAUCAGCUAGUUGGCGGGGUAAAGGCCCACCAAGGCAACGACGGAUAGCCGGCCUGAGAGGGUGGCCGGCCACAGGGGAAGUGAGACACGGGUCCCACUCCUACGGGAGGCAGCAGUUAGGAAUCUUCCACAAUGGGCGAAAGCCUGAUGGAGCGACGCCGCGUGAGGGAUGAAGGUUCUCGGAUCGUAAACCUCUGAAUCAGGGUCGAAAGACGCGUAAGCGGGAUGACGGUACCUGAGUAAUAGCACCGGCUAACUCCGUGCCAGCAGCCGCCGUAA